This 1209-nucleotide long non-coding RNA is filed under the name Salmo salar (Atlantic salmon). RNAcentral describes it as "lncRNA (ENSSSAG00000093853.1)". The record is from RNAcentral. Lineage: Eukaryota; Metazoa; Chordata; Actinopteri; Salmoniformes; Salmonidae.
UGAUAGGCUGUAGAUCCUCCCUAGAUAGGGAGAAAGAGGCUGACUGUGAUGUCUACGAGUGUCAGUGUCUGAGCUUCUUCGAGAGGCGGCGGAUCGGCUUGGAGGAUUAGAGUACUGUAAUCAAGAAAGUUCACAAGUUCAUUUUAACUUUGUUUCCAAAGUUGAGAGACGCGGACGGGUUCGAGCUGCUGAAAAUGUCUGGAACUACACAGAGCUGUCAUCUUAUACCUGUCCCAUGCCCCAAUCAGGGCUACAGUAUGAGAUAUCUGAAGACCCUUGUGUCGUGCUACUCUGUACAUUCGCCCGCUGUAAAGGAAUUUGAGUAUGGAGCAUGAACUGAAUGAUUCAGUUGUUGUUCAAAGUGGAACCCUGACACAAUGUCUAAACUGUGAAGAACAACUUCCCUUUGCACAAAUAAGAAGACACAGUGAAGCCUGCUCAAGGUAAUGCUCUGAAUGGGAAAUGAAUCAUGGAGAUGUUGGGAAAAUAGGAUAUUCUCCAUUUAUGGAAGGUGCACUCAUCAUUACAAAUUAUGGUAUGGCCAUGUUGCACGUCAAUAACAGAACUCUUAAGUAGUUUCAUCAUUUGUUAGUUUAGAUGUGGAAUAGGAACAAUUUAAUUGAGCAGUUAUGGGUGUUCAUUUCUUGGUUCAUUGUUGCUGUACAUUUCUUUAUGAUAAAGACAAUAAUUACAACAAUCCACUUCACUAUCAGGCUGGGAGCUGUUGUGAAAAUGUUCUGUUUAGUAUCUGAUAUAACUAUCUCCUCGGCUCGACUCUUCAAGUCAACCACAGGUUGAAAGGGCAGGAGAGAAUGAAAGGGAGAAUGAAGGUGCAGCUGUCCCUAGAGCCAGUGGGACUAGUGCCUCCACCGGUCAGCAUCCAGCUGUAGAUUUGGUAAUGGAGGAGAAUGAAGGUGCAGCUGUCCCUAGAGCCAGUGGGACUAGUGCCUCCACCGGUCAGCAUCCAGCUGUAGAUUUACUAAUGGAGGAGAAUGAAGGUGCAGCUGUCCCUAGAGCCAGUGGGACUAGUGCCUCCACCGGUCAGCAUCCAGCUGUAGAUUUACUAAUGGAGGAAAAUGAAGGUGCAGCUGUCCCUAGAGCCAGUGGGACUAGUGCCUCCACCGGUCAGCAUCCAGCUGUAGAUUUGGUAAUGGAGGAGAAUGAAGGUGCAGCUGUCCCUAGAGCCAGUGGGACUAGUGCCUCCACCGG